UAGGGAAUCUUCGGCAAUGGACGAAAGUCUGACCGAGCAACGCCGCGUGAGUGAAGAAGGUUUUCGGAUCGUAAAACUCUGUUGUUAGAGAAGAACAAGGACGUUAGUAACUGAACGUCCCCUGACGGUAUCUAACCAGAAAGCCACGGCUAACUACGUGCCAGCAGCCGCGGUAAUACGUAGGUGGCAAGCGUUGUCCGGAUUUAUUGGGCGUAAAGCGAGCGCAGGCGGUUUCUUAAGUCUGAUGUGAAAGCCCCCGGCUCAACCGGGGAGGGUCAUUGGAAGUUGGGAGACUUGAGUGCAGAAGAGGAGAGUGGAAUUCCAUGUGUAGCGGUGAAAUGCGUAGAUAUAUGGAGGAACGCCAGUGGCGAAGGCGGCUCUCUGGUCUGUAACUGACGCUGAGGCUCGAAAGCGUGGGGAGCAAACAGG
Molecule: ribosomal RNA, 429 nt
Filed under: Gemmatimonadota bacterium
Lineage: Bacteria; Pseudomonadati; Gemmatimonadota
Description: Gemmatimonadetes bacterium partial 16S ribosomal RNA
Rfam family: Bacterial small subunit ribosomal RNA
Source: RNAcentral